RNAcentral lists this ribosomal RNA (630 nucleotides) under uncultured bacterium. Its description in RNAcentral is "bacterial SSU rRNA". It matches the Rfam family "Bacterial small subunit ribosomal RNA", at positions 91 to 703 of the family's 1533-position model. The record is from RNAcentral.
GCGAGCGGCGGAUGGGUGAGUAACACGUGGGGAACCUGCCCCUAAGUCUGGGAUACCAUUUGGAAACAGGUGCUAAUACCGGAUAAUAAAGCAGAUCGCAUGAUCAGCUUUUGAAAGGCGGCGUAAGCUGUCGCUAAGGGAUGGCCCCGCGGUGCAUUAGCUAGUUGGUAAGGUAACGGCUUACCAAGGCGACGAUGCAUAGCCGAGUUGAGAGACUGAUCGGCCACAUUGGGACUGAGACACGGCCCAAACUCCUACGGGAGGCAGCAGUAGGGAAUCUUCCACAAUGGACGCAAGUCUGAUGGAGCAACGCCGCGUGAGUGAAGAAGGUUUUCGGAUCGUAAAGCUCUGUUGUUGGUGAAGAAGGAUAGAGGUAGUAACUGGCCUUUAUUUGACGGUAAUCAACCAGAAAGUCACGGCUAACUACGUGCCAGCAGCCGCGGUAAUACGUAGGUGGCAAGCGUUGUCCGGAUUUAUUGGGGCGUAAAGCGAGCGCAGGCGGAAAAAUAAGUCUAAUGUGAAAGCCCUCGGCUUAACCGAGGAACUGCAUCGGAAACUGUUUUUCUUGAGUGCCAGAAGAGGAGAGUGGAACUCCAUUGUGUAGCGGUUGGAAUGCGUACAUAUAUGGAA